GCCUGGGUGGCUCAGUCGGUUAAGCGUCUGACUUCAGCUCAGGUCACGAUCUCGCGGUCCGUGGGUUCGAGCCCUGCGUCGGGCU
This 85-nucleotide transfer RNA is filed under the name Felis catus (domestic cat). It matches the Rfam family "tRNA". Rfam says of the family: Transfer RNA (tRNA) molecules are approximately 80 nucleotides in length. Their secondary structure includes four short double-helical elements and three loops (D, anti-codon, and T loops). Lineage: Eukaryota; Metazoa; Chordata; Mammalia; Carnivora; Felidae. The record is from Rfam by way of RNAcentral.